GUGCCCAUCCAUAUGUGCCAAUAUUUUCUGCCCUCCGAAGGCAGGGGUCACUGGUUCGAAUCCAGUCGGGCGCG
This 74-nucleotide transfer RNA is filed under the name Ectothiorhodospira magna. RNAcentral describes it as "tRNA_Arg_CCG". It matches the Rfam family "tRNA". From Rfam's summary of the family: Transfer RNA (tRNA) molecules are approximately 80 nucleotides in length. Their secondary structure includes four short double-helical elements and three loops (D, anti-codon, and T loops). Lineage: Bacteria; Pseudomonadati; Pseudomonadota; Gammaproteobacteria; Chromatiales; Ectothiorhodospiraceae. The record is from RNAcentral.